This 497-nucleotide ribosomal RNA is filed under the name uncultured bacterium. RNAcentral describes it as "partial 16S ribosomal RNA". It matches the Rfam family "Bacterial small subunit ribosomal RNA", at positions 28 to 507 of the family's 1533-position model. The record is from RNAcentral.
GAUGAACGCUGGCGGCGUGCCUAAUACAUGCAAGUCGAGCGAACAGACGAGGAGCUUGCUCCUCUGACGUUAGCGGCGGACGGGUGAGUAACACGUGGAUAACCUCCCUAUAAGACUGGGAUAACUUCGGGAAACCGGAGCUAAUACCGUAUAAUAUAUUGAACCGCAUGGUUCAAUAGUGAAAGACGGUUUUGCUGUCACUUAUAGAUGGAUCCGCGCCGCAUUAGCUAGUUGGUAAGGUAACGGCUUACCAAGGCAACGAUGCGUAGCCGACCUGAGAGGGUGAUAGGCCACACUGGAACGGAGACACGGACCAGACUCCUACGGGAGGCAGCAGUAGGGAAUCUUCCGCAAUGGGCGAAAGCUUGACGGAGCAACGCCGCGUGAGUGAUGAAGGUCUUCGGAUCGUAAAACUCUGUUAUUAGGGAAGAACAAAUGUGUAAGUAACUAUGCACGUCUUGACGGUACCUGAUCAGAAAGCCACGGCUAACUACGUG